Molecule: ribosomal RNA, 466 nt
Filed under: uncultured Anaerolineaceae bacterium
Lineage: Bacteria; Bacillati; Chloroflexota; Anaerolineae; Anaerolineales; Anaerolineaceae
Description: bacterial SSU rRNA
Rfam family: Bacterial small subunit ribosomal RNA
Source: RNAcentral
AAAGGAAUUGACGGGUCCCCGCACAAGCAGCGGAGCGUGUGGUUUAAUUCGAUGUUACACGAAGAACCUUACCCGGGUUUGACAUACAAGUGGUAGUGAAGCGAAAGCGGAACGACCCUUCGGGGAGCUUGAACAGGUGCUGCAUGGCUGUCGUCAGCUCGUGUCGUGAGAUGUCCGGUUAAGUCCGGUAACGAGCGCAACCCUCGCUGUAUGUUACAAGUGUCAUACAGGACCGCCGGUAUCAAGCCGGAGGAAGGUGGGGAUGACGUCAAGUCAGCAUGGCCUUUAUAUCCGGGGCUACACACACGCUACAAUGGCCGGUAUAAUAGGUUGCUAAGCCGCGAGGUAGAGCCAAUCCUCAAAGCCGGUCUCAGUUCAGAUCGCAGGCUGCAACUCGCCUGCGUGAAGUUGGAGUUGCUAGUAAACGCGCGUCAGCUAUAGUGCGUUGAAUACGUUCCCGGGGAUU